Lathyrus oleraceus (garden pea) is the source of this 1400-nucleotide long non-coding RNA. RefSeq lists it as uncharacterized. The record is from RefSeq and is a predicted model, not a curated record. The transcript has 2 exons. Lineage: Eukaryota; Viridiplantae; Streptophyta; Magnoliopsida; Fabales; Fabaceae.
GCCAUGAGAAGGAAACGAGGGAAUGACCCUUCGAAGACCUAAACGGCGGCCGGAAAAGCGCUUCCUCCAUAAGCACUUUUUCACUUUCAAACGCGAACGACACAACCUCCUGCGUUUUCGAUGCUCCACACAGCUUCGGGAGUGAGAGGAGCCAACGCCAACGUCCGGAGGAUCCACCAUCGGAUACGAAACAACGCGACUCCGUCAUUGCUGAUAUCCGUCAAUGGCACGGACGCGAUCUUAGACUAUACGCACGAAGGUGAAGAAAACUCGAAAGCGAAGAUGAAACGAAAGAGCUUACCAAGUGGAAGCGUCAACCUGAACUGGCGGAUCUACGCUCUAUCUUCUUGUUAGCUCGCGUCCCUUCCCUAUGAUGCGUUGCUUGCUGUUUCUUUGUUUGAAAAGAAGCGAAGAUCGGAGACGAGUUAACGGAUGAGAUCGUCGGGAUCGAGAAGAAGCGGUGGUGAACUCUUAGAAUCUAUCACUGCUACAGUCGCUGAAGGCGGAGGAGGUAGCGUUCAGUUAUGGUGAAGUGUUGAGGUUCAAUCAGGCAUUCCGUUACAGGUUAUGGUUGGUAGCGGUUAUGAUGAAGAGGAGUUCUUGGAUGGAUUCGCAGUGGUUGAAGGUUGAGGCUGAAGGAUUGGAGGAGUUUGUGAUUUCUGACUGCGAUUUCGUCGUGACCGCACCGUUGCGAAUUGGUACGCUCCUCUCUUUUCUCUGAUUUCAGUGGAGUAAGAAUUGAAAAAACGGUUUCGGUUGUUGACGAUUGGAGUGUGGUGUAGGUGAAGGUUUGGUGAAGGUUUGAUGAAGGUGGAGCUCACGGUUUCGGUUACGGUUCUGGUUGAAGACGAUUCCAGAUCGUGAUUGUGAAGUUUGUUAGAAUUCCUUCGGAUUGGUUGAUGAGAGAGCGAGGGGGUUUUGGAAGCAGUGGUUCUUAAGAGGUUCGAAUGGUUCAGAGUUGAGAGAAGGUCUUGGUGAAUGAAUGGAAGUUAUGAAGGUUGAUGUUCAAUGGUGGUUGGUUGAAGCGAUUGUGAAGUCAUGGUUGUUAGAACGGUUGAGGGUUGUGAGAAGUGGUGGAGUUGAUGGUGGUUUGAAGGUUGGUUGAUGAUGGUUGAAGAUGAUGGAGUGAAGUUUUGGUUGAAGAAGAAGAAUCUCGGUUGGGAAGAGGAAGUUGAAGUGGUGGUUCUUGAUGUUGAAGAUUGGAGAAGAAAGUGAAGGUUACGGUUACGGUGAUAGAAGGUGAAGACUAUGGAGUUUGGUGAAGGAAUUGAAGAGAGGAAGCAGAAACCGAAUUUGAGAGAGGGAAGGAGAAUUUAUAGAGUUUGAGUUUUUUUGGUUAUAGUUUGUUAGUUAGUUGUGAAUGAAAAAUUCUGUUAUGGAUUGGUGAUGGCUCGCGUUUA